AAAAUGGAGAGUUUGAUCCUGGCUCAGGAUGAACGCUGGCGGCGUGCUUAACACAUGCAAGUCGAACGAGCUUUUUCGGAAGUUAGUGGCGGACGGGUGAGUAACGCGUGAGGAUCUGCCUACAGGAUGGGGACAACAUUAGGAAACUGAUGCUAACACCCAAUGUGCCGAGAGGUGAAAUAUUAAUAGCCUGUAGAUGAGCUCGCGUCUGAUUAGCUAGUUGGUGGGGUAAGAGCUUACCAAGGCGACGAUCAGUAGCUGGUCUGAGAGGACGAUCAGCCACACUGGGACUGAGACACGGCCCAGACUCCUACGGGAGGCAGCAGUGGGGAAUUUUCCGCAAUGGGCGCAAGCCUGACGGAGCAACGCCGCGUGAGGGAGGAAGGCCUGUGGGUUGUAAACCUCUUUUCUCAAGGAAGAAUUUUUGACGGUACUUGAGGAAUCAGCAUCGGCUAACUCCGUGCCAGCAGCCGCGGUAAGACGGAGGAUGCAAGCGUUAUCCGGAAUUAUUGGGCGUAAAGCGUCCGUAGGCGGUUGUAAAAGUCCGUUGUUAAAGCCCACAGCUCAACUGUGGAUGGGCAAUGGAAACUAUAUAACUAGAGAGUGGUAGGGGUAGAGGGAAUUCCUAGUGUAGCGGUGAAAUGCGUAGAUAUUAGGAAGAACACCAGUGGCGAAGGCGCUCUACUGGGCCAUUACUGACGCUGAUGGACGAAAGCUAGGGGAGCGAAAGGGAUUAGAUACCCCUGUAGUCCUAGCUGUAAACGAUGGACACUAGGUGUUGCGCGUAUCGACCCGUGCAGUAUCGAAGCAAACGCGUUAAGUGUCCCGCCUGGGGAGUACGCACGCAAGUGUGAAACUCAAAGGAAUUGACGGGGGCCCGCACAAGCGGUGGAGUAUGUGGUUUAAUUCGAUGCAACGCGAAGAACCUUACCAGGGAUUGACAUCCUCGGAAUCCUUUUGAAAGAGAGGAGUGCCUUCGGGAGCCGAGAGACAGGUGGUGCAUGGCUGUCGUCAGCUCGUGUCGUGAGAUGUUGGGUUAAGUCCCGCAACGAGCGCAACCCUCGUCCUUAGUUGCCAUCAUUAAGUUGGGCACUUUAAGGAGACUGCCGGUGACAAACCGGAGGAAGGUGGGGAUGACGUCAAGUCAUCAUGCCCCUUACAUCCUGGGCUACACACGUACUACAAUGCGACGGACAAAGGGCAGCCAACUAGCGAUAGUGAGCUAAUCCCAUAAACCGUUGCUCAGUUCAGAUUGCAGGCUGCAACUCGCCUGCAUGAAGGCGGAAUCGCUAGUAAUCGCAGGUCAGCAUACUGCGGUGAAUACGUUCCCGGGCCUUGUACACACCGCCCGUCACACCAUGGAAGUUGGCCACGCCCGAAGUCGUUACCCCAACCGUUUUGCGGAGGGGGACGCCGAAGGCAGGGCUGAUGACUGGGGUGAAGUCGUAACAAGGUAGCCGUACCGGAAGGUGUGGCUGGAUCACCUCCUUA
This 1491-nucleotide ribosomal RNA is filed under the name cf. Phormidesmis sp. LEGE 11477. RNAcentral's name for it is "Bacterial small subunit ribosomal RNA". It matches the Rfam family "Bacterial small subunit ribosomal RNA". The record is from Rfam by way of RNAcentral. Lineage: Bacteria; Bacillati; Cyanobacteriota; Cyanophyceae; Leptolyngbyales; Leptolyngbyaceae.